This 76-nucleotide transfer RNA is filed under the name Candidatus Buchananbacteria bacterium. RNAcentral's name for it is "tRNA-Pro". It matches the Rfam family "tRNA". Rfam says of the family: Transfer RNA (tRNA) molecules are approximately 80 nucleotides in length. Lineage: Bacteria; Candidatus Buchananiibacteriota. The record is from RNAcentral.
CUGGAUAUAGCUCAGCUCGUAGAGCGCUCUGCCCGGUGCAGAGAGGACGGUGGUCCAAAUCCAUCUAUUCCGACCA